RNAcentral lists this long non-coding RNA (2307 nucleotides) under Gallus gallus (chicken). Lineage: Eukaryota; Metazoa; Chordata; Aves; Galliformes; Phasianidae. The record is from RNAcentral.
GGCAAAGAUAGGCAGCACCUGUAACAACAAUUGUUUAAUCAUACAACACAUACAAAAUUUUUUUACAAUACCAGAAAAACCUGACAGAUGCUGUAAUAAUGACAGAAACUGCAGGAGUAGUUGGAUUUCACAAUCUUUUGAAGCAUCCUUCCCUUUCAAUGAUUUACUUCUGCUGUGCAAAAUGUAUCUCCAUUGAGUUGGAGACCGGUAGCAGAUGCCUUACUUACCAAAGAACAAGAUUUGUUUUUGGAUUAGUCCACCUUCCUACGUCAAGAACACAAGACAUGCUGGCUGGAGGGAGGUAAUUAUAAGGACACUGUAUUGCAAAGACCAAAGAACCUCCGUGGCUCCAGCAGUGAGUUCCGGACAGGUGCAGUUACUCUGCAGGUCUGAUGCUAGUAUAUUUGCUGACAAAGUGAUGUAUCUCUUACAUCUGUUCUCAAAUAUGCUGAGGAAGUGACCAGUCCUGCUUUCUGAGCACUCAGCUGCAGAUGGACCGGAGCUGCAAGAGUCCCUUUCAUGCUGUUCAUGGGAUUCCAAAGUAUUCUCUCUCAAAUUUACGGAAGUCUUCCUCGGUAAAGACAGUGCCCUCAGGCUUCUUUUCCUUCUUCUCUGCAGGCCGAUCUUUUGACUUCCUGCCUCUGUUCUGUGUAAGAACUUGUUGGGUGACGGCUUUGUCAGCAACGCAUCGUCCACUUGUCAUGUACAGCAAAUUUGCUUUGAGGUGAUUUACAGCUUUCUUCUUGUGAUACUCCUCUAUCGCCGACUUCACGACUCUGCCCUUGAUCGUAGCCUUGUUCUUCCCGGGCCCCGCCGUUACCUUCCUCCGCCGGGCAGCUCCUGCCGGCCUGGUGCCAUCGCGCCCCUGCUGGAGUGCCGGCGGGGCCUUCCCCUGGCCCGGUGCCUCCAGCAGCUCCAGUCCACGCCGUAUCAGCGACGCCGACAUGGCCACACAACCCUGCCACUCACCCACUUCCGGUUCUACACCGUACUUCCGCCCUCCCCUGAGGCCACUUCCGUCCUUUGAACAGCCAUACUUCCGUUUUUCCCCGAGCAGGGCGCGCAUGCGCGAAGGGAGUUGGGAGAGAGUUUAGGCGGGAAGGACGGAGCGGGGAGCCAUAUUGAGGCUCCUUGUCUUGUGGAGGCUGCCUCAGGCCAGCGCUGAUCUGGCUUUGUGUACAUCUGUAGCGCUGCAGCCUCGCUGGUGGCCCUUUCCUCUCUCCUGCCUGUGCAGUGUGUGGCCCAGCAGCGGGUCUGCAGGCUCUCUGUGGUGCACCCUCACGGAGCUUCUGCAUUGGGAACGGGCUCUAAGGGGCCCUGCCGUUGUGGUGGUGAUCACAGGGGAAGCAGUAAUUACAGGCUGAGAAGAAAGGGAGCAUCCAGCAGCGCUGUCACAUUUUGUCUCUUUGCCCCCCAAAACGGGUUUAACUCUGUGCCUGGCUCCUGAGGCACAGAGUUUUGCUCCACCAUUAAUUGCAUCUAUUAUUCAAUAUUACUUUAGCGUAUUUAUUUAAAGCUUUCCUCCCCCGUUUUUGCCUCUCCAGAGACUUCCUGCUAAUGUCUGCUAAAUUUAGCUAUCAUCUGAAUAAAGCUUAUUCAAUUAUAGCCAGCACUGGCAGUAACAAGCUGGCAGUGGAGGAGAAGAGGAGAGGUUUAUUCUCCCUCAGAUAGUGUCCCGUAGGGAGGGAGCGGUACAAGCAGUGCUUGUUGUUUCGCAUGGCAAUGAUCUCUAGUCGUGGCUGAUAGCAGUUAAACUGCGGUUCAUUAACAGGCAUCCAUUCUCUGCAGGUUGUUCUCCAGCCCCUGCAGAUGUCACCUCAGUGCCAAUCUUUUUAUCCUUAGUUCUCUUUGGAAUCUCUUGUUGGAUGGUUCCUGGCAUCCUGUGUCAGUGUCUGUCAUUCUGAUCGUGCUAAGGCAUCUUUCUGGACAAGACUGUUUUGAUGCUCAUUCAUUGGGAAAUAUUAACUGUUUGCUUCCUGUUCAGCAUGUCACUUCUCACUUGUGAUUUUCCUCUUAAAGAAAUCCAACCCCCUUUUUUUGGAUUAAUUAGGGUGGGCAAUGGCUGGGUGUGUAGCCUGAUGUGGCUCUGGGCAGCCUGGUCUAGUUGUUGGUGACCCUGCACGUAGCAGGGGGGUUGAAACUGGAUGAUCAUUGUGGUCGUUUUCAAUCCAGGCCAUUCUAUGAUUCUAUGAAUAUUUCUCCAUUUUCUUGUCUUCUACUAAGCUAGCAAAGACUGAGGCUGCUCAGCUCCUUGUUCUGUGCUGAGUUUGUCCCUGCAGUCAUGUAAGUUAGCAUAUUUGUGAGGAG